Long non-coding RNA from Acinonyx jubatus (cheetah), 867 nucleotides. RefSeq lists it as uncharacterized. The transcript has 3 exons. Lineage: Eukaryota; Metazoa; Chordata; Mammalia; Carnivora; Felidae. The record is from RefSeq and is a predicted model, not a curated record.
UUUCCUUUCAUUCCCAGGGAGAAAGUCUUCUGGGUAACAGGCCACCUCGUGCACUGUCCGGUAUCACAUUCAGUUGCCGCUGAAUAUGCCUUAAUUACACACUUGAUAGUUUUGUCUGUAAAGAGGUGAAAAACACAUAUGGCACGUGCUCAGAUAGCUUCUAAAUAUUGAGAUCGAAGUAGAAGACAGUCAUCUCUGUUUCUGCGGUCUGGUGACCAUCCUGGGGCUCCCAGGGUUGCCCGUGGGUCCCCAUCGGGGGGGAUUAUGACGCAGAUUAUGAUGCUGCGUCAUAAUCAUGUUGUUUCCUUACUUCACAAUACGCCCUGAGCACCUCCCCGCCCCCUUGCCCAGGGUGGGCCACAGAGCCACAGGGUCCACAGGGCCUGGCACACUCCAGAUGGGGAAACUGAGACCCAGAGAGGCAUAGCGGCUGCUCCAGAUCACUUACCCAGGGUGGCACCAGGAGCUUCCUAACCCCAAAUCUCGUGGUCUUGUGCUCAGUACUCUCCUCAUUUCUCCUGUUGCUCAGUACUCUACACUCAGUCCGCAGCCUGGGGACUGGAACACAGGCCAGAUGAGGGAGAAGGCAGGACAGCAAGUGGCUGCAACGCUCCGCCCUCCUGGGAGGGGUCACACUAUCAUCUUUGGCGACCCAUCCCUCCCGGGUGUUUAGCCCUGCAGAUGCAGCCCAGUUUCAGAGCCAGGACAAACAUCUUCUCAGCCAUGUGGCCAGAAGGCUGGGCCAAUCGAUCUCCAGCUUCUGGGUGGGAAAACCGAGGUCCGGAGAGGGGCAAUGGUGGCUGGAGGCCUGGGCUCACACAGCAGCUAUGAGCCUGAGCCCUGCUUCAGGUGCCCUUGACUCAAAAC